GGGUGGGGGUUCUUGGGUUUCCUAGUUUCUAUUUUGUGAGAGAGAAAAAUAAAAAAAAUUUAUUUUUCUUCUUUUACACCAUCUCUUUCUUGAAAAUCUUUUUUUUUUCUGAUCUAGAGAUAUCUGUUUGAUCUAAAGAAAGGAGUCUCCAUCAGCCAUCUAGAUUCUUCAUCACAAGCAAGCACUCCAAAAAAGAAUG
This 199-nucleotide long non-coding RNA is filed under the name Elaeis guineensis (African oil palm). RNAcentral describes it as "long non-coding RNA (EGUI_LNC065908)". Lineage: Eukaryota; Viridiplantae; Streptophyta; Magnoliopsida; Arecales; Arecaceae. The record is from RNAcentral.